This 291-nucleotide ribosomal RNA is filed under the name uncultured bacterium. RNAcentral's name for it is "partial 16S ribosomal RNA". It matches the Rfam family "Bacterial small subunit ribosomal RNA", at positions 29 to 301 of the family's 1533-position model. The record is from RNAcentral.
AGCGAACGCUGGCGGCGUACUUAACACAUGCAAGUCGAACGAGGAGCCUCGGUGUAGCAAUACAUUGGAGCUUCGAGUGGCGCACGGGUGAGUAACACGUGGGCAACCUGCCCUUGAGACCGGGAUACCCCCUCGAAAGGGGGACGUAAUACUGGAUACGCUCCUCGGGUCGCGAGACCUAGGGAGGAAGGUAGGCGCAAGCUGCCGCUCUUGGAGGGGCGUCGCGGCCAUCAGCUAGUUGGUGAGGUCACGGCUCACCAAGGCGAUGACGGGUAGCUGGUCUGAGAGGAC